GACGAACGCUGGCGGCGUGCUUAACACAUGCAAGUCGAACGGAAAGGCUCCAGCUUGCUGGAGUACUCGAGUGGCGAACGGGUGAGUAACACGUGGGUAAUCUGCCCUGCACUCUGGGAUAAGCCUGGGAAACUGGGUCUAAUACUGGAUAUGACCUUUCUCCUUAUGGGGUUUGGUGGAAAGUUUUUCGGUGUAGGAUGAGCCCGCGGCCUAUCAGCUUGUUGGUGGGGUGAUGGCCUACCAAGGCGACGACGGGUAGCCGGCCUGGGCGGGUGAGCGGCCACAUUGGGACUGAGAUCCGGCCCGACCUCCUCCGGAGGGCGGCAGGGGGGAAUUUUGCACAAGGGGCGGAAGCCUGAUGCAGCGCCCCCGCGUGAGGGAUGCCGGCCUUCGGUUUGUACACCUCUUUCAGCAGGGACGAAGCGAAAGUGACGGUCCCUGAAAAAGAGACCCCGGCUACCUAUGUC
This 467-nucleotide ribosomal RNA is filed under the name uncultured bacterium. Its description in RNAcentral is "partial 16S ribosomal RNA". It matches the Rfam family "Bacterial small subunit ribosomal RNA", at positions 28 to 507 of the family's 1533-position model. The record is from RNAcentral.